GAUGUUGUGUCUGCCGAAAACUAAAAAAAAAUAAAUAUUAAAAAAUUAAAAAAAAAAAAAAAAGAAGUAGCUGUUUAAGGUUGGAUGAGCCCCACAGAGGACGUGCUCAUAGAAUGUUGGACAUUGGAAUGCAAUUUCUAUUCAGCUCCAACCUUGUCUUCACCUUGCUGACUGGUGGGACUGCAGAGCCAUCUUGGAGCUAUAUUCUUCAGCUCCAUAUCCAUACCCCACCCAAAUUGCAUUCAUUUCCUGUGCUGUUGCUUAGUGUUUGCUGAAGAACCAACUUAGAAUUUUAUAUAUUGUAUAAUAUCGGAAACCACAUUUGAUUGGUAAGUUUUCCAACCUAAAAUUAAAAUGUAAAACAAAAUAUGUUCUUCGGUAUAUCAUCUAAACUCACUGUCACUCCCUGUUUUUCCUGAUAAUGUCCUUUGAGAGAUAAAGCUCUGACUAGGAAGGGUAUUUGGGAGGCUGACUGGGUAGAGAGGAGGGCUGGGGGCUGGGUAAGCCCACCUCCCAUCUCUGCUGUGAGUCUCUGCCUGUUGAGGGCCUAGCAUUCCCAGGGUGCUAGGGGGCCAUCAAAUAUGAGUUGAUAGGAUGCAGUAAGGUAUUGAGCACAGACUCAAAUGAGGUGAAUGCUUGUCCUGCAGUAUUGUGACAAGGAAGUGCAGUGUAGGAUUGCAUGAGUUAAGAUUUUGUAUAAUACUUAACCAUGUACCAGACAUUGUACUUUGAAUACUGAACCAAACAGAGAAGGUACAAGCAAUACCUGUUCAUGGAGAGUAUUCCUACAAAGGGAAUAGAUAAGGGACUGAGGAAAGGAUUAUAAGGAACUCAAGUUAAUAGGGCUGCUCAGAGAAGGUAUGGCUGAAGAGGUGACACUUAAAACAGAUUAUAAAUGGUGGAAAGGAACCAGUCAGGAGCAAACUAUAGCAGAAAGAUAGUUUGUCGUAUCCUGGGGGAAAUUCAGUACUUCAGGUAGAUAGUGAAAGGCAGUAAUAGCUAUCAUAGCAUCCAUUGUAGGUGCUAGGAAACCAUGAAAUUGUGUUGGUUUCAGCUGUACCAGUGAGUUCUUUGGCCUCAAAUCCUUUAGGAGCAGGUUGGAAUUCUUUGAAGGGGCCAUGCGAUUCCCUGAGGAGGCUUGAACCCACUCUGUCCAACUGGAAUUGCCUUAGAUCUCAGGAAUUGGCUGAGGCCAAGCUAAUCCAAGAGACUGGACUUUCUGAUGCCUCUGCCUAUGACUUUUAGAGGAGGCAUGUGGUGCACAAAGGGCAGCACACCAGAUGUGACAUAAUUUCAC
RNAcentral lists this long non-coding RNA (1297 nucleotides) under Marmota monax (woodchuck). The record is from RNAcentral. Lineage: Eukaryota; Metazoa; Chordata; Mammalia; Rodentia; Sciuridae.